AUUCAUCCAUUAGCGUAAAAGUUCAAAGUUUAAUUAUUCUCAACUGUAAUUAUUUGCUAUUAAUAUCUUUUCAUUUUAAAUGAUAACUAGAUAUUUUAUUUCUUUUAAAUUGCUAUAUAAUGAUAUUUUAAAACUUUGUUUUCCUGUUAUCCUAAGAAUUAAAUUAAAGAGUUCUCUAGGCAACUGGAUUGAACAUGGAUGUUUAAUUAAAGUUUUAAUGAAAAUUGAAGAUAUGGAGAACUGCGAUAUUCCUGAAAACUUUAUCCAAAUCAAGGCAACCGGCUCAGAGAUGAGAAGCAGAAUAUCGGCUCUUAUGGCAUGCAAACGGCGACAGGCAAAUAGAAGAAACGAAUUGGACUUUUUCGGAAUGCAGAGAAAGAAAGUUAGCCACUGUGCUCGUGUCGCUGCACAAGUCAAUCGCAGGAAAGGAGAAGCCAGUCAUCUGCAAGUUAGGUUUGCAUGGAACGCUUGGGGUCCGCAGACUACUCAUGCAGCUGACUUGAAAGAAAGAUGCACCUCGAUUGGUGCAGGCGUGGUCGAUCCACCGCCAUCCACGUCUAUAGCAGCAGCAACACAAGCAGCACCGUCUUCAUCGCAAUUCAAUUUCUCUACUAAUCAGGAGUUUGUUAACCAUACGUGGAAGAUCAAAUCUUGUCCGGAAGCUAUGGUGAAAAAGAGAGUUUUUCAUUGGAUGAUAUUGAAAUGGAAAUUAAAAAAUUAAAGAAAAAAAUGAAGAGUUGAUGAAACGAAUAUCGUCUUCAAUCAAGUUACUCGCGAACUUAAUCAAAUUUAGAUGGUGAAAUUCGGUGACGUAUAACAGCAAAAAAAUACAUACAAUAAUGAUUUUGAAUGAAUUAAGUUUGUAUCAUAUAUGAAAUGUUAUUGUUUAGUGUUAUAUUAAUCGAAAUGAUUAUAUGAACAAGAAGCUCAUUUUGUAUCAAGAGAUUCGAUAUUGUUUGGAUAUUAUUUUGUAAUUGUUGAUGAAAAAGGUUGAAAAAUAUGAAAUCAAAUCUUGUCCGGAAGCUAUGGUGAAAAAGAGAGCUUUUUCAUUGGAUGAUAUUGAAAUGGAAAUUAAAAAAUUAAAGAAAAAAAUGAAGAGUUGAUGAAACGAAUAUCGUCUUCAAUCAAGUUACUCGCGAACUUAAUCAAAUUUAGAUGGUGAAAUUCGGUGACGUAUAACAGCAAAAAAAUACAUACAAUAAUGAUUUUGAAUGAAUUAAGUUUGUAUCAUAUAUGAAAUGUUAUUGUUUAGUGUUAUAUUAAUCGAAAUGAUUAUAUGAACAAGAAGCUCAUUUUGUAUCAAGAGAUUCGAUAUUGUUUGGAUAUUAUUUUGUAAUUGUUGAUGAAAAAGGUUGAAAAAUAUGAAAUAAAAUCUAGUUAUCUAAUAUCA
RNAcentral lists this unclassified non-coding RNA (1390 nucleotides) under Nilaparvata lugens (brown planthopper). RNAcentral describes it as "leucine-rich repeat-containing protein 45, transcript variant X1". The record is from RNAcentral. Lineage: Eukaryota; Metazoa; Arthropoda; Insecta; Hemiptera; Delphacidae.